AUGCUAAGAGAAUGGAACUUCAGGGAAAAACUUUAUUGAAGUUAAAAUUUAAAGUUUUUUUAAUUUGUGCAGAAACAAUUAUUUAUAUUAAGGACAAGAAGACCCUAUGAAUUUAUUAAAUUUUAUUAACGAAUGACAACAUUAAUAAAAUUUUGGCUGGGGCGGCAGAAAAAUAUUAAAAACUUUUUAAUUCUAAAAUGACCCACUUUUAGUGAUUAUAUGAAAAAUACUCUAGGGAUAACAGCGUUAUAUUUUUUGAUAGACCAUAUUGACAAAAAAGUUUGCGACCUCGAUGUUGGAUUAGGAUACUUUUUUAAUGAAGAAAUUAAAAAAAGAAGUUUGUUCAACUUUUAAUCUC
This 358-nucleotide ribosomal RNA is filed under the name Rhipicephalus pulchellus. Its description in RNAcentral is "partial large subunit ribosomal RNA". Lineage: Eukaryota; Metazoa; Arthropoda; Arachnida; Ixodida; Ixodidae. The record is from RNAcentral.